Molecule: ribosomal RNA, 700 nt
Filed under: uncultured bacterium
Lineage: Bacteria
Description: bacterial SSU rRNA
Rfam family: Bacterial small subunit ribosomal RNA
Source: RNAcentral
UCGAACGGGGGGCAACCCCAGUGGCGAACUGGUCAGUACAAGUUGGGUAACCUGCCUGGAAGUGGGGGACAACGUCUCGAAAGGGACGCUAAUACCGCAUGUGGUUCCGGGGGCUUCGGCUCCUGUGACUAAAGCAGCAGUGCGCUUCCGGAUGGGCCCGACUCCCAUUAGCUUGUUGGUGAGGUAACGGCUCACCAAGGCUACGAUGGGUAGGUGGUCUGAGAGGAUGGUCACCGACACGAGGACUGAGAUACGGCCUCGACUCCUACGGGGGGCAGCAGUCUAGAAGCUUCGACAAUGGGGGAAACCCUGAUCGAGCGACGCCGCGUGCAGGAUGAAGGUCCUUGGAUUGUAAACUGCUUUCGGCCGGAAGGAAGGCCCUGAUGGUGAAUCAGGGAUUGACCUACUGGCGGAAGAAGCCCCGGCUAACCUCGUGCCAGCAGCCGCGGUAAUACGAGGGGGGCAAGCGUUAUUCGGAUUUACUGGGCGUAAAGAGCGCGUAGGUGGCUUGGCAAGUCUGGUGUGAAAACGCUACCGCUUAACGGAGCGAUUGCGCUGGAAACUGCCAAACUUGAGUCCGCGAGAGGUCGGUAGAACUCCUGGUGUAGCGGUGGAAUGCUCAGAUAUCAGGAAGAAUACCUGAGGCGAAGGCGACCGACUGGCGUGGUACUGACACUGAGGCGCGAAAGCGUGGGGAGCA